Molecule: long non-coding RNA, 546 nt
Filed under: Ictidomys tridecemlineatus (thirteen-lined ground squirrel)
Lineage: Eukaryota; Metazoa; Chordata; Mammalia; Rodentia; Sciuridae
Description: lncRNA (ENSSTOG00000031955.1)
Source: RNAcentral
AACGUGCUCAUUGUAUAUUUUCAUGUUUCCCUUUGAUUUCUAUUUUGCCCAGAGGGAGAAGAAGAUGACGAUGAAGAGGAUGAAGAAGAUGAAGAGGAAGAAGAGGAAGAUGAGGAAGAGGAUGAGGAGGAUAAAGAUGCAGACUCCCUGGAUGAGAGCUUUGAUGGCGACUCUGAGGUGCCGAGUUUCACUCUCCCUGGCAUCACAUCCCAGGAACCCGGCUUAGAGCAGGGAAACAUGGACCCUUUGGAGGGAGCCACCUACCAGGUGCCCGAUGCCAUUGAGUGGGAACAGCAGAAUCAAGGCCUGGUGAGAAGCUGGAUGGAGAAACUAAAAGAUAAGGCUGGCUACAUGUCUGGAAUGCUGGUUCCUGUAGGGGUGGGGAUAGCUGGAGCCUUGUUCAUCUUGGGGGCACUCUACAGCAUUAAGGUUAUGAAUCGCCAAAGGAGAAAUGGCUUCAAAAGGCAUAAAAGAAAGCAGAGAGAAUUCAACAGCAUGCAAGAUCGAGUAAUGCUCUUAGCUGACAGCUCUGAAGAUGAAUUUUGA